Long non-coding RNA from Neofelis nebulosa (Clouded leopard), 384 nucleotides. RefSeq lists it as uncharacterized. The transcript is spliced from 4 exons. The record is from RefSeq and is a predicted model, not a curated record. Lineage: Eukaryota; Metazoa; Chordata; Mammalia; Carnivora; Felidae.
CCUGAAUUGACAAGACAAAAUGUCCACUUCACUGAAGCCACCUUACUGUGAGAAAGCCCAAAUUAGCCGAGAACACAUGCAGAGGUCCUGAGGAUGUGAGGAUGUACAAAGAGAGCUCCCAUAGUGGAAGAUGCAGAAGAAGGCCUACUGUAUGCUGCACACAUGGUGGUUUGUGUCACAGAGAUAUACAAACGUUGAACUCCUGCUUUUCCAAAUGAAACCAGCAAAGGGCCUGGAACUGAUGACUGAUGUUAUAGGAGGAUAUCAAUGGGUAUCUAGAAACAGGAAAUAUGGAACUUUGGACAAUCGUGACCUCGGAACAAAUUGCUGCACUGCUACUUUUCACAAAGGAAAAAAAAUCUAAUAAACAACUUAUUAACAGAA